UCGAAGCCAAGGUUCCCUCCCUUCUCUCCCCAUUGGCUGGGUACUGCAAGGCUUUCCCCUUACAAUUAUCCCCCGGAGAUAUCCUGCCUCCCAGGCGGGGGUUCCCAUUCCCGCCCGCGCUGCCCAGGGGCGCUGCUGCUGCCAGGAUUUCGGGUCAGGAAGACGAUGGUCAAGAUUCUACAGAGCCAUCUGUGAAUUCAUUGGGAAAAACAAAAAAACAGUUUAAAUGCAGGGAAUGUGGAAUGUGCUUUCGUCACUGUAGAAAAA
Non-coding RNA from Podarcis muralis (Common wall lizard), 267 nucleotides. The record is from RefSeq and is a predicted model, not a curated record. Lineage: Eukaryota; Metazoa; Chordata; Lepidosauria; Squamata; Lacertidae.